AACGAACGCUGGCGGCAUGCCUAACACAUGCAAGUCGAACGAGACCUUCGGGUCUAGUGGCGCACGGGUGCGUAACGCGUGGGAACCUGCCCUUAGGUUCGGAAUAACUCCCCGAAAGGGGUGCUAAUACCGGAUAAUGUCUUCGGACCAAAGAUUUAUCGCCUUUGGAUGGGCCCGCGUUGGAUUAGCUAGUUGGUAGGGUAAAAGCCUACCAAGGCCACGAUCCAUAGCUGGUCUGAGAGGAUGAUCAGCCACAGUGGGACUGAGACACGGCCCAGACUCCUACGGGAGGCAGCAGUGGGGAAUAUUGGACAAUGGGCGAAAGCCUGAUCCAGCAAUGCCGCGUGAGUGAUGAAGGCCUUAGGGUUGUAAAGCUCUUUUACCCGGGAUGAUAAUGACAGUACCGGGAGAAUAAGCUCCGGCUAACUCCGUG
Molecule: ribosomal RNA, 433 nt
Filed under: uncultured bacterium
Lineage: Bacteria
Description: partial 16S ribosomal RNA
Rfam family: Bacterial small subunit ribosomal RNA
Source: RNAcentral